Molecule: long non-coding RNA, 1437 nt
Filed under: Oncorhynchus mykiss (rainbow trout)
Lineage: Eukaryota; Metazoa; Chordata; Actinopteri; Salmoniformes; Salmonidae
Description: lncRNA (ENSOMYG00000074628.1)
Source: RNAcentral
AUGGUAGAAGGGUGUUUUACUAUGUCAGAAGGGUGUUUUACUAUGGUAGAAGUAGAAGGGUGUUUUACUAUGGCAGAAGGGUGUUUUACUAUGGUAGAAGUAGAAGGGUGUUUUACUAUGUCAGAAGGGUGUUUUACUAUGGUAGAAGGGUGUUUUACUAUGGUAGAAGGGUGUUUUACUAUGGUAGAAGUAGAAGGGUGUUUUACUAUGGUAGAAGGGUGUUUUACUAUGGUAGAAGGGUGUUUUACUAUGUCAGAAGGGUGUUUUACUAUGUCAGAAGGGUGUUUUACUAUGUCAGAAGGGUGUUUUACUAUGUCAGAAGGGUGUUUUACUAUGGUAGAAGGGUGUUUUACUAUGGUAGAAGGGUGUUUUACUAUGUCAGAAGGGUGUUUUACUAUAGUAGAAGGGUGUUUUACUAUGGUAGAAGUAGAAGGGUGUUUUACUAUGGUAGAAGGGUGUUUUACUAUGGUAGAAGGGUGUUUUACUAUGUCAGAAGGGUGUUUUACGAUGUCAGAAGUGUGUUUUACUAUGUCAGAAGGGCGUUUUAAUAUGUCAGAAGGGUGUUUUACUAUGUCAGAAGGGUGUUUUACUAUGGUAGAAGGGUGUUUUACUAUGUCAGAAGGGUGUUUUACUAUGUCAGAAGGGUGUUUUACUAUGGUAGAAGGGUGUUUUACUAUGGUAGAAGGGUGUUUUACUAUGUCAGAAGGGUGUUUUACUAUGUCAGAAGUGUGUUUUACUAUGUCAGAAGGGCGUUUUAAUAUGUCAGAAGGGUGUUUUACUAUGUCAGAAGGGUGUUUUACUAUGGUAGAAGGGUGUUUUACUAUGUCAGAAGGGUGUUUUACUAUGGCAGAUGGGUGUUUUACUACGGUAGAAGGGUGUUUUACUAUGUCAGAAGGGUGUUUUACUAUGUCAGAAGGGUGUUUUACUAUGUCAGAAGGGUGUUUUACUAUGGUAGAAGGGUGUUUUACUAUGGUAGAAGGGUGUUUUACUAUGGUAGAAGGGUGUUUUACUAUGUCAGAAGGGUGUUUUACUAUGGCAGAAGGGUGUUUUACUAUGGUAGAAGUAGAAGGGUGUUUUACUAUGCCAGAAGGGUGUUUUACUAUGGUAGAAGGGUGUUUUACUAUGGUAGAAGGGUGUUUUACUAUGGUAGAAGGGUGUUUUACUAUGGUAGAAGGGUGUUUUACUAUGGUAGAAGUUGAAGGGUGUUUUACUAUGGUAAAAGGGUGUUUUACUAUGGUAGAAGGGUGUUUUACUAUGGUAGAAGGGUGUUUUACUAUGGUCGAAGGGUGUUUUACUAUGGCAGAAGGGUGUUGUACUAUGGUAGAAGGGUGUUUUACUAUGGUAGAAGGGUGUUUUACUAUGGUAGAAGGGUGUUUUACUAUGGUAGAAGGGUGUUUUACUAUGGUUGAAGGGUGUUUUACUAUGGUAGAAGGGUAG